GUGUAACAACUCACCUGCCGAAUGCAUUUGCCCUGAAAAUGGAUGGCGCUUAAGCACGUGGCCGAUACACCGCCGCUGAGGACGAAGCGUAUGUCUCAGUGAGUAGGAGGGCGUCGGGCUCGUGUAGAAGCUUAGAGCGUGAGCUUGAGUGGAACGGGCUCGAGUGCAGAUCUUGGUGGGAGUAGCGUAUAUUCAAGCGAGAACCUUGAAGACUGGAGUGGAGAAGGGUUCCAUGCAAACUACAAUUGGACAUGGGUGAGUCGAUCCUAAGAGAUGGGGUAAUUCCGUAAAAAAGUGUGUUGCACACUGUUUAUCGAAAGGGAAACGGGUUAAUAUUCCCGUACCAGGAAACGGAGUGUAUGCGGUAACGCAAAUGAACUCGGGGACACCAGCAUAGACUCUAGGGAGAGUUCUCUUUUCUAUUUAACAGUUUUAGUUACCAUGGAAGCGGGUUGUCCGGAGAAGUGGUACUGCUUCUGGAAGAACGGUGUCUUCGUAUAUCGUCUGGUUUGUUUAUGUUGGUCCGUGAAAACCCGGGGGAAAGAUAGACUUUCGUACCUGCUCGUACCCAGAACCGCAUCAGGUCUCCAAGGUGA
This 596-nucleotide ribosomal RNA is filed under the name Cryptomonas curvata. RNAcentral describes it as "partial Eukaryotic large subunit ribosomal RNA". It matches the Rfam family "Eukaryotic large subunit ribosomal RNA", at positions 1280 to 1875 of the family's 3401-position model. Lineage: Eukaryota; Cryptophyceae; Cryptomonadales; Cryptomonadaceae. The record is from RNAcentral.